UUCUUAUUGGAUGAUGACUGUCAUGUGUCAUGUUCUGAUUGGUCAAUGAAAACAAUAAUUCAUUUCAUUUUUCAUGGAGUUGACAUUCAAUCAGAACAUGACACAUGACCGUCAUCAUCC
This 120-nucleotide microRNA precursor is filed under the name Glycine soja. RNAcentral's name for it is "MIR1520 microRNA precursor family". It matches the Rfam family "MIR1520 microRNA precursor family". The record is from Rfam by way of RNAcentral. Lineage: Eukaryota; Viridiplantae; Streptophyta; Magnoliopsida; Fabales; Fabaceae.